AGCGAACGCUAGCGGCAGGCCUAACACAUGCAAGUCGAACGAACUCUUCGGAGUUAGUGGCGGACGGGUGAGUAACACGUGGGAACGUGCCUUUAGGUUCGGAAUAACUCAGGGAAACUUGUGCUAAUACCGAAUGUGCCCUUCGGGGGAAAGAUUUCUCGCCUUUAGAGCGGCCCGCGUCUGAUUAGCUAGUUGGUGAGGUAACGGCUUACCAAGGCGACGAUCAGUAGCUGGUCUGAGAGGAUGGCCAGCCACACUGGGACUGAGACACGGCCCAGACUCCUACGGGAGGCAGCAGUGGGGAAUCUUGCGCAAUGGGCGAAAGCCUGACGCAGCCAUGCCGCGUGAAUGAUGAAGGUCUUAGGAUUGUAAAAUUCUUUCACCGGGGACGAUAAUGACGGUACCCGGAGAAGAAGCCCCGGCCAACUUCGUGCCAGCAGCCGCCGUAA
RNAcentral lists this ribosomal RNA (449 nucleotides) under uncultured bacterium. RNAcentral describes it as "partial 16S ribosomal RNA". It matches the Rfam family "Bacterial small subunit ribosomal RNA", at positions 29 to 523 of the family's 1533-position model. The record is from RNAcentral.